CGUUGCUGUGGGAGCUUGCCUGGUGCACAGAUUCAUCCACCACGGCUGCCAUCCAGAUGGCCAGGUUGGUGGUGAGCGUGAACAUCAGUCCACAUCUGUUUGGAGGUUGAGGGAGGCAAAGAGGCCCGUGAGUCUUUGGUUCAUCUUGGGUCCCUAGCGAGGUAGGAGACCGGAAAGCUCUCCUGAGAGAUGAUAUUGAGAAGGGAAAGGUCAGCCAGGCCCUUGUGAAAAGUGGGGCUGAGUUUGGAAGGCCAGGAUGCCACCCAAGAGAGGACCGGGGGUUUCCAGAGGCACAGGCCCUGCUGUCCCCACCCCCACAACACGUGAAAGGGGGCGGGCACAGUGUAGUGGAAUUAGGCGGACAAAUUGGGGACCUUGGCUGAAACCCCACCCAGGAGGCAGAGGGAGGAGCCAUGCUCAGGCCAGACAGCCCUCAGGUCUCCUGCCAGGCGACAGGCGGGGCACAGACACUGAGCUGCAGUUCUCACCGGGUCAGAUCCAGGUGGACGUGAAUACAGUCUUUAGCGGAGACCCAGAGAAAGCUCCCUAAGCAAGAGGAGGGGCCCUAGACAGACCCUUUUCAGUUGCUGCUGUCCUCUGUGCCCCCUCUCCAUCAAAGGCACCUCGGAGCCAGAUGGGUCCCGCGUGCGCGUCCAGGUAGGGCACCGCGCCAGGGCAGCGCGCGCUGCGCAGGAGGUAGAAGAGGAUCCAGAUCGCGGCCAGCAGCAUCAUCGCGAUUUGGGGACCAGGGAGUUCCUAAUCCCGGUGCUGGAGGAAAGCGCAGGGGGAGAAGAAGAGAAAAACCAGAACCCGCAUCUGUGAGGCUCAGCUCAGAAGGAAAGAAGUGGCGGCACCCGUCGGACCCACUUCCAAAAUCCCAUCGUCCACCUGCCCCGGCACGCACCUGGCUGGCCUGGUAGCUCGCGCAGAGUUGGGGUUCAGGGGGCGGUGAGCGUCUCCUCUCUCCCACGCCAGGCUGGACGGGAGCUUUAUAUCCGAGAGCGCUGAGUGAUUUACUGCCGCGGGAGCUCGGCUCCAUAAACCUCUCAGUCCCACUCACAUGAUCCAUCUUUUCUCUGGGCUGAAUUUGGGGAAGUGCGCGCGGGAGUCAGAUAAAGCGAGAUGUAUAUUUAUCUGUUAAGAACAACCCGCCUCCCUCCGUCCCUGUCACCCCUGUGGGGCCGGGUUCGGACGGGCGCGGUCCCGCAGUGCGGCAGCUAGAGGGCACCCCCCACCGCUCCCGCCCGGAGCCCCCACACCUGACGCUCGCGAGCCGCGGGCACCCACAUGUCCUCCCAGCCCCGGCGCAGGCUGCGCUUGUGAGCCCGGUUGCUACCCUGAGGUCGUGACACUAGCCUUCCGUUCCCCACCUGUCCUCAGAACGCUCGAGUUUCUUCUUCUUCUGUCCCUACUGCGCCCCCCUCUGCUGCUCCGCUAGGUGCUUCGAAGUCUGGGGCGUGGGAAAGAAGUUCCCACGCGGUGCGCCCAGCCCUCCUCCAGUCCUCUAGCGCCCCCUGCUGGAGCGCGUCAAGACCCCGUACCAGGACCGCUGCUUCCUACUCAAGGACAGUUUCUGGGUCUCGCUGUGCAGUUCAGGCUGGCCUUGA
This is a long non-coding RNA of Chinchilla lanigera (long-tailed chinchilla), 1607 nucleotides long. RefSeq lists it as uncharacterized. NCBI's taxonomy places the organism in Eukaryota, Metazoa, Chordata, Mammalia, Rodentia, Chinchillidae. The transcript has 5 exons. The record is from RefSeq and is a predicted model, not a curated record.